UGCGAGAUCGCAUGAAUGGUUAAUGCACUGGUCUCAUAAGCCAGAGUAUAUGGGUUCCCUGUUCGUCACACUUAGAUGCUAAGGAAGGCCUAGAAGUCCCAUUCUCGAAA
This 110-nucleotide transfer RNA is filed under the name Flavobacteriaceae bacterium. RNAcentral describes it as "tRNA-Met". It matches the Rfam family "tRNA". Rfam says of the family: Transfer RNA (tRNA) molecules are approximately 80 nucleotides in length. Lineage: Bacteria; Pseudomonadati; Bacteroidota; Flavobacteriia; Flavobacteriales; Flavobacteriaceae. The record is from RNAcentral.